GGCUUGCUGGUAUAGUGGUAUGAUUCCCGCUUUGGGUGCGAGAGGUCACGGGUUCGAUUCCCGUGCAAGCCC
This 72-nucleotide transfer RNA is filed under the name Dendronephthya gigantea. RNAcentral's name for it is "tRNA-Pro". It matches the Rfam family "tRNA". Rfam says of the family: Transfer RNA (tRNA) molecules are approximately 80 nucleotides in length. Their secondary structure includes four short double-helical elements and three loops (D, anti-codon, and T loops). Lineage: Eukaryota; Metazoa; Cnidaria; Anthozoa; Malacalcyonacea; Nephtheidae. The record is from RNAcentral.